CAUUGUGUCUCUGCACGUGGACGGUACCGGAUCUCGGACACCGGAGAGGAUCGUUACCGGCACGGAGCGGCGUGCACGCGUGAAGCUGACGCCGUCAUCAUGACUCUCUGACAUCAUCUCUGACAUCAUCACCACAGCAUAAUGGCCCAGUCCAUCUGGCUGUCGUCAUGGCGACCGUUGCUGAUGCUGCUGUUGAUGAUUUGUGAUUGGUCAAACUCAGAGUUCCCCAAAGACCAGGAGCCAAUCAGCAAGGUCGCUUUAGAGUCUUAUCCUUGUUUCCAGGGUCUCCUCCAGGAAAACGAUGCUCUUCAUCUCGGCCUGGACUUUCAGAGGAUGUUACGUAUCAAACACAUGUUAUACAUCGCAGCCAGAGAUCACGUGUUUGCUGUGAAUCUAACGACAGCUUCAGAACACUUCAUCCCACAGCAGACGCUGACGUGGAAAACACAAGAUGUGUCAAAGUGUACGGUCAGAGGAAAGAACAGAGACGAAUGCUAUAACUACAUUAAGGUUCUGGUUCCUCGUGACGAUGAGACUCUUUUUGUUUGUGGAACAAACGCCUUCAACCCGACCUGCAGGAACUACAAGGUGUGGUCCCUGCAGCAGGUGGGGGAGGACGUGCUCGGGCAGGCUCGUUGUCCCUUUGAAUCCACUCAGUCCAACGUGGGACUGUUCUCAGGAGGUGAUUUCUACUCAGCAACGACCGCUGACUUCCUGGCGAGCGACGCUGUUGUUUACAGGAGUUUAGGAGACGAUCGGCCCGUUCUACGCAGCGUUAAAUACGACUCCAAGUGGCUCAGAGAGCCACACUUCCUGCAUGCCAUUGACUACGGAAACUACGUUUAUUUCUUCCUGAGAGAAAUCGCAGUGGAAUACACCGCAGUGGGAAAGGUUGUGUUCUCUCGUGUUGCUCGUGUGUGUAAGAACGAUAAUGGAGGAUCUCCUCGAGUUCUGGAAAGGUACUGGACGUCUUUCCUCAAGGCUCGUAUGAACUGUUCUGUUCCUGGUGAGUCUUUUUUCUACUUCGACGUUCUUCAGUCUCUCACCAACGUUCUUCAGAUCGACCAAAAACCUGCUGUGAUUGCUGUGUUUACCACACAGGAGAACAGUAUCCCUGGCUCAGCCGUGUGCUCCUUCUUCAUGGAGGAUCUUGAGGCUGUGUUUAACGGGCGUUUUAAAGAGCAGCGCAGCAGCGACUGGUCGUGGUCGGCCGUCCCUGAGGAGACCCUCCCUCGGCCCAGGCCAGGCGUGUGUGCAGGAGACGGGUCAGCAUCCGAUUACAAGUCGUCGCUCCAGUUCCCAGACGAGACGCUGACGUUCAUAAAGUCGUUUCCUUUGAUGGAUGAGGCGGUCAGGUCGGUCGGGGAGCGACCGUUCUUCACACAGACGUCCAGCAGGUCUAAGCUGACCCAGGUGGUGGUAGACGUGUCAGCCGGACCCUUCAAGGACCAGACGAUUCUGUUCCUGGGCUCAGACGACGGGCGGCUCCUCAAGGUUCUGCUCAGAACGGCGUCCGACCGCAACUUCCGCUCCGAGCUGCUGGAGGACCUGGCUGUGUAUGACCCGUCCAGGUGUGGGGUCCCGGGUCAGGAGGAGCGCAGGGUUCUGGCUCUGGUUCUGGAUAAAGACCAUCAGGCCGUGUUCGUGGCCUUCAGGGGCUGCGUGGUCAGGGUCCCACUGAGCCGCUGCUCACAGCACGGCGACUGCAGGAGGUCCUGUCUGUCCUCCAGGGACCCGUACUGUAUCUGGAUCAGAACAGGACACUGUGCUGACGUGGCUGCAGGCUUCAGAGCUGGUUUUGAACAGGACAUGGAGGGGGAGGAGCCAGUCCUGGACGACAGCUGCCAGGCUGACAUUUAUGCAACGACGAGGAAUCAGGAAUCAGUGUCGGACACGACGUACGGUACAGAAACUCACGCCUCUGUAAACAUCCACUCCACGCUGCUGAUUGGCUGUGUGCUCGCCGCCUUCUUCCUGGGAGCUGUCCUAUCAGGGUUCAUGGUAUCAUGUUUCUGUGGCCAAAGCUCCGCCCACCAAGUGCCCGCACUGAAGGAGGCGGAGCUUUCGCUGCCGACCUUCACUAAAGUUAGCGCGCUAAUGGACGAAGCCACGAAGGAGGACAGAGUGGGUGUGGCCUCACAGGUCUACAGCUCCUUCAUCCCCAGCGGCCGACAGCAGCAGUUGGUGUCGCUGGCCGACGCCGAGCUCCGCCCCCCUCAGGAUGGCGAUGAACUCUCGGCUCUUCCGACUCCCAAUUCUUCGCCUGAACUCUUUGUCCGGAACGACCUUCAGCUUCAUCAGAGCGGUGCCAUCCUCGGCGCACCAAUCCCGUUCUCCCACCGUCUCCUGAGCGGCACAGGCUCCUCCCCUUCGGCGACAGCGGGAGGCUCCGCUCCCUCUCCGUCGGCGCUGGACGAGCUGUUGCGACACAUCAGUGAGGUCAGUGCGUCAGGGAGCGGAGGAAUCAAAGUUCUCACCUCCUCAUCAUCGCUGUUUCCCUCUGGACCAAAAUGCCACCCUUCUCCUCAUCACCACGGCAACCACCGUCCACAGCUUUUCAGCAACUGUCAUCACCAUAGCAACCACCAUAACGGCAUCGCCCCUCAGCAUCGGCUGAUCCCGCAAACAGAGUCGCACUACGACAAGCGGCCGGACCGACUGGUAAAAUUAGGCGUCGGCGUUCCGCGCCAUCACAGCUUUCACCAGCGGGGGGCGCCGUUCACACGCAUGAACACUAAUAACAGCAGCAGCAAAGGGGGCGGAGCCUGUCUGACCCGGCAGCACAGCUACAGUGAGGGAGCACACCCACAGUGCGCUGGCGUUCGCAGGACGCUGUCGCUCAAACCGCAAAUCCCGCCCAAACCGCUGUUCCUGCCCAAUGCCGCAACGCCUUCUGUGGCCGAAACAGGAAACUAUGAGCUCUGAAACACUGCGGCGCCUCCUGUGGCUGAAAUGUGGUACUGUUUAGUGAGUGAAUGAAGGAUCUUUUGGUUAAAAGGUGAAAAAGAGAACGUUGGAGGAUGAAACACAAAAUGCUUCCAGUCACUCUUUUCUGUUUUUUGGACGUUUCAGGGCACAAAGGUUGUCCUGAUGCUAACGCUAACGCUAAAUGCUGCUCUUUGUACCACAUUGGUAUCACCGAGGAUUCAUCAAACACUUUCUGAUCGUUCA
Gouania willdenowi (blunt-snouted clingfish) is the source of this 3171-nucleotide long non-coding RNA. Ensembl annotates it as semaphorin-6D-like. Lineage: Eukaryota; Metazoa; Chordata; Actinopteri; Blenniiformes; Gobiesocidae. The record is from Ensembl.